This 335-nucleotide ribosomal RNA is filed under the name uncultured bacterium. Its description in RNAcentral is "bacterial SSU rRNA". It matches the Rfam family "Bacterial small subunit ribosomal RNA", at positions 8 to 334 of the family's 1533-position model. The record is from RNAcentral.
AGAGUUCGAUUCUGGCUCAGGAUGAACGCUAGCUACAGGCUUAACACAUGCAAGUCGAGGGGCAGCAUGAUUGAAGCUUGCUUCAAUUGAUGGCGACCGGCGCACGGGUGAGUAACACGUAUCCAACCUUCCGUACACUCAGGGAUAGCCUUUCGAAAGAAAGAUUAAUACCUGAUGGUAUCUUAAGCACACAUGUAAUUAAGAUUAAAGAUUUAUCGGUGUACGAUGGGGAUGCGUUCCAUUAGGUAGUAGGCGGGGUAACGGCCCACCUAGCCUACGAUGGAUAGGGGUUCUGAGAGGAAGGUCCCCCACAUUGGAACUGAGACACGGUCCAA